UAUGCAUUAUAGUAGAGCUAGGUGACUAGAUUUAGCUGGAGGACAUUCUUUGACAGAGCGGGUUGCUGGAGCCUCUAAACAUUAUUAUAAUGAAUUGAACAGUGUACUUUAGAUUAACAACACAACUCAAACAUUGAGAGGUUUAAUUUGAAAAUAUCUACCUAUACGAUUACGCCAACACAAACACUGUAGCACUGAAUCAAUCCUGGGAACUGGAGUAUGUUUUACAUACAGGGUUGGAGACCCCUAGUGAUAUCAAUAAACCCUGACUGAAAAAGUACACACCAUGGAAAAUAACCUUUUUGUUUUUACAUAUUUGGACACAAGGAUAUCUGAGUUGAAUUCCAACCAUACUCAUUGAUGAAGGCAACCCAAUGCAAAAAAUCACACCCAAAAUGGUGUUUGGAAACACAUCAUGCCAAGAUCAAAAGACCUAACCGAGGACCAAAGAAGAAAGAUUAUUGAGGCCAAAGCCAUUUACAAGUACUUUCCAACCAUUCCACUCUCUGACGAAUUCCAGACCACUGGCAAUCUACAUAGGACAGGCUGUCCCGCCAAAUUCACCCCAAAUGGCUGACUGAAAGAUGCGCAUAGAAGUCUCUUACAAUCCAGGGUCAACAGUCAGAACGAGACCUGGC
Esox lucius (northern pike) is the source of this 638-nucleotide long non-coding RNA. Lineage: Eukaryota; Metazoa; Chordata; Actinopteri; Esociformes; Esocidae. The record is from Ensembl.